Molecule: non-coding RNA, 2194 nt
Organism: Anas platyrhynchos (mallard)
Lineage: Eukaryota; Metazoa; Chordata; Aves; Anseriformes; Anatidae
Source: RefSeq, a predicted model, not a curated record
CACACAUGCAAAACAAUGAUGCUACUGUGAGCCUUGCCCAUUAAUUCCCGUUUGCUGGGUGACGCAAGGUGUGGGCGCUAUGAGCCAGAAAGGAGCAGGAGGCAGCGCUCUCAGCCCCCUGUCCCCUGCAGACCCCGGUGCCACGGCAGCCCUGUGAGUGCUCUUCCCAAGGGGAGAAACAUGCGGCUGCAGUGACGGGGACAUCUACAAAACCAGGCAGCUCCCAACAAACUUUGGCCACGUCAUGACUCAAACAUGAAGAAAUGAAGUGUCUGCAGCCGACACAUUGCAGAGUUAAGCCACAUAUUUCUAAUCCAGGGUCUGCAGACUUGAUGCAGCUCUGUGCAAUCCUGCAGCUUGGGCUGGGAAACCAAGGAAAAGCAGGGGACAUCUCCCUCCUUUGGGGGACAACAAGAAGCCUGGUGAGGACAGCAUCACCAUGUAGCCACCAGGUCUGUGCUACAGACCAACCAACUGGACUUUCCCCAGGACUCAGGGCAGCCUUUGGAGCCUCUCCCUGCCCUAGCCCCAGCCCAAUGAAGCCCUUAUUCUCUGAUGCUCUGUCCCUGUCACCCCCCAGCUGGGCACGACUCCCAUCACUGCCCAUCAUCUCCACCUGGAGGUGUCCUGGGACAUGCCCCUGGGUGUCAGAGCCCUUCCAGCACACUGCUGGACACGGGUGCUACCAUCAGAGCAGAAACAUCCCCAAGCACAGGACAGCCCCUAGUGCAUGCAGCAGCUUUCACUGGGGACUGGAUAAAUGGGAGGCACUUGGGAAUGCACCUGUUGGAGAAGUUCAGCUCUCAUCUGCAACGCAACGCUCCACGGGUACAAAUCAUCAGCAUGGGCAUCGACCCGAGGUAAGCCAGGAGACAGUCACUUGACUGCUCUUUCAGCAGCACAGAGACACACUCAGUAACAGCGUGUGCACUGCUGUGCUCCUGACCUGCACGUGCCAUGCCGACAUCAAUCCCACCUGAAGCUCCCUUGCAACAUAAAAGGACAGAAGAAAGUUCAUGGCCAGCAGCUACACACAGGUCUAGAGAGCUCAGUCCUGCCCAGCCCGAGGCUUUUGAUCUGUCCUCUACCAAAGAAACAAGCACAAGGGCUCCCGAGCUGCCCGCCCAGCUCCAUGCGCUGCUGCUGCUGCUUCAUCCUGUGAUCCUGCUCGGUCUCACCAGCUGUGAACUGACCUGCAUCGGUGUUUAAAAGCUGCCCACCUUACCUUUCUUCUCACCAAAUUACAGAUGAUUUAGUAUGUUUUGCAGAAUAUUUGACAGUGAUGAAGAGUAAGGUCUUGAACCAGAGAGCUCCCCCUGAACACAGCGCUGAGCUCAGCACAACCCCAUUCUGAUUGUCAGCUCUUCCCUUGCACUUCUGUUCAAUAGUCUAUUCCUCUUCGCCUCUCCUCCUGCACAGGCAGGACAGAAAGGCUUCUACAAGCUGCUAAACUCCUGGCAUGCUGCAGAGCGAGAGAGAGACCACACUGCAGAUGUAAAUAACAUGAUCCCAGCGAAUAAGUCAUCUGUGUUGUGAACAGGCCCACAGGCAUUAGCUGUUGCACGAUAAAGACGGUCUGUGAUCAUGGCACUGAAGAGCAGGCAGGGCAGAAGCCCAGUUGUGAAGGCUGCCCCCCUCCAAACCAGAGCCCAGCGAGAUUCCUGCACAGCCAGGGCAGCCCCACUGCCCCACAGGGACCCAUCAGCAGCACCGGCUCCAUCCACACAGCCCCAGCACCUCAGAACCCAUCACAAGGGGGCAAGAGGCUUCCACCCAGCGGCUUCCAGUCUCAGCCUAGUGCUCAAAGGCAAAGCAAUGUGAGCAGAGAGGUGUGGUGGGCAGAGAAGUCCUCGCCAGCGGCAGCUGAUGCUCGCCCUGGUAGGGGCUGGCACGGAGCCCCCGAGCUGCCAGCGCAGCAUCCCGCCCAGCCGUGGGCGCACAAACGCUCCCACCGAGGUUGUUUGUUGUCUCUGCCAUAAAAGAGUUUCAAUCAAGCUGGGACAGUAAUUUCAGUCUAAAUUAAACAACCCCAUUUACUCACAAUGAAGGCUGUUCACAACUGAGAUCCUGACUCGGACAAGCAGUGCUUCAGAGCACAGAUUUGGCUUAUAGCGCUUAAAGCAGCUGUCUUCAUAAAAGCUAAUAAAAUACAGUUGGAUAAUUAAAAGCUUUAAUUAAAAAUGCAAAGUCCAAA